GGAUAACAUCGAGAAAUUGGUACUAAUACCCCAUAACAUCACCGGAGGCAUCUUCGGUGGUUGAAAACUCAGGUGGUCAGAGAUGGACAUGCGUUGUAUUAGCUAGUUGGUGAGGUAACGGCUCACCAAGGCGACGAUACAUAGGGGGACUGAGAGGUCAACCCCCCACAUUGGUACUGAGACACGGACCAAACUCCUACGGGAGGCAGCAGUGAGGAAUAUUGGUCAAUGGACGCAAGUCUGAACCAGCCAUGCCGCGUGCAGGAAGACGGCUCUAUGAGUUGUAAACCGCUUUUGUACGAGGGUAAAUCCCGAUACGUGUAUCGGGUUGAAAGUAUCGUACGAAUAAGGAUCGGCUAACUCCGUGCCAGCAGCCGCGGUAAUACGGAGGAUUCAAGCGUUAUCCGGAUUUAUUGGGUUUAAAGGGUGCGUAGGCGGUUCGAUAAGUUAGAGGUGAAAUCCCGGGGCUCAACUCCGGCACUGCCUCUGAUACUGUCGGGCUAGAGUUUAGUUGCGGUAGGCGGAAUGUAUGGUGUAGCGGUGAAAUGCAUAGAGAUCAUACAGAACACCGAUUGCGAAGGCAGCUUACCAAACUACGACUGACGUUGAGGCACGAAAGCGUGGGGAGCAAACAGGAUUAGAUACCCUGGUAGUCCACGCAGUAAACGAUGAUAACUGGUUGUCGGCGAUAAAAUGUCGGU
RNAcentral lists this ribosomal RNA (701 nucleotides) under uncultured bacterium. RNAcentral's name for it is "bacterial SSU rRNA". It matches the Rfam family "Bacterial small subunit ribosomal RNA", at positions 141 to 844 of the family's 1533-position model. The record is from RNAcentral.